Peromyscus maniculatus bairdii (prairie deer mouse) is the source of this 104-nucleotide small nuclear RNA. NCBI's taxonomy places the organism in Eukaryota, Metazoa, Chordata, Mammalia, Rodentia, Cricetidae. The record is from Ensembl.
GUGCUUACUUUGGCAGCACAUACAGUAAAAUUGGAACAAUACAAAGAUUAGCAUAACCACUGUGCAAGGAUGACACACACAUUCAUGAAGUGUUCAUAUUUUAA